UACGGAGGGGGCUAGCGUUGUUCGGAAUUACUGGGCGUAAAGCGCACGUAGGCGGCUUUGUAAGUUAGAGGUGAAAGCCCGGGGCUCAACUCCGGAAUUGCCUUUAAGACUGCAUCGCUAGAAUUGUGGAGAGGUAAGUGGAAUUCCGAGUGUAGAGGUGAAAUUCGUAGAUAUUCGGAAGAACACCAGUGGCGAAGGCGACUUACUGGACACAUAUUGACGCUGAGGUGCGAA
Molecule: ribosomal RNA, 234 nt
Filed under: uncultured bacterium
Lineage: Bacteria
Description: partial 16S ribosomal RNA
Rfam family: Bacterial small subunit ribosomal RNA
Source: RNAcentral